GGCUCAGAUUGAACGCUGGCGGCAGGCCUAACACAUGCAAGUCGAGCGGUCGCACAGAGAGCUUGCUCUCGGGUGACGAGCGGCGGACGGGUGAGUAAUGUCUGGGAAACUGCCUGAUGGAGGGGGAUAACUACUGGAAACGGUAGCUAAUACCGCAUAAUGUCGCAAGACCAAAGUGGGGGACCUUCGGGCCUCAUGCCAUCAGAUGUGCCCAAAAGGGAUUAGCUAGUAGGUGGGGUAACGGCUCACCUAGGCGACGAUCCCUAGCUGGUCUGAGAGGAUGACCAGCCACACUGGAACUGAGACACGGUCCAGACUCCUACGGGAGGCAGCAGUGGGGAAUAUUGCACAUUGGCCGCAAGCCUGAUGCAGCCAUGCCGCGUGUGUGAAGAAGGCCUUCGGGUUGUAAAGCACUUUCAGCGGGGAGGAAGGCGGUAAGGUUAAUAACCUCGUCGAUUGACGUUACCCGCAGAAGAAGCACCGGCUAACUCCGUGCCAGCACGCGCGCGCGGGUAAUACGGAGGGUGCAAGCGUUAAUCGGAAUUACUGGGCGUAAAGCGCACGCAGGCGGUCUGUCAAGUCGGAUGUGAAAUCCCCGGGCUCAACCUGGGCGAAACUGGCAGGCUAGAGUCUUGUAGAGGGGGGUAGAAUUCCAGGUGUAGCGGUGAAAUGCGUAGAGAUCUGGAGGAAUACCGG
This 696-nucleotide ribosomal RNA is filed under the name Klebsiella sp. Its description in RNAcentral is "bacterial SSU rRNA". It matches the Rfam family "Bacterial small subunit ribosomal RNA", at positions 21 to 712 of the family's 1533-position model. Lineage: Bacteria; Pseudomonadati; Pseudomonadota; Gammaproteobacteria; Enterobacterales; Enterobacteriaceae. The record is from RNAcentral.